Molecule: ribosomal RNA, 377 nt
Filed under: uncultured Chloroflexota bacterium
Lineage: Bacteria; Bacillati; Chloroflexota
Description: bacterial SSU rRNA
Rfam family: Bacterial small subunit ribosomal RNA
Source: RNAcentral
UAAUACGUAGGUGGCGAGCGUUAUCCGGAUUUACUGGGCGUAAAGAGGGAGCAGGCGGCUUUUCAAGUCGGGUGUAAAAUCUCCCAGCUUAACUGGGAGGGAUCAUUCGAUACUGCUAAGCUAGAGGGCAACAGAGGGAGGUAGAAUUCCCGGUGUAGUGGUGAAAUGCGUAGAUAUCGGGAGGAAUACCAGUGGCGAAGGCGGCCUCCUGGGUUGUUACUGACGCUCAUUCCCGAAGGCGUGGGGAGCAAACAGGCUUAGAUACCCUGGUAGUCCACGCUGUAAACUAUGGACACUGGGUAUAGGGAGUAUCGACCCUCUCUGUGCCGAAGCUAACGCGUUAAGUGUCCCGCCUGGGAACUACGGCCGCAAGGCUA